This 2162-nucleotide ribosomal RNA is filed under the name Salmonella enterica subsp. enterica serovar Enteritidis. RNAcentral's name for it is "partial 23S ribosomal RNA". It matches the Rfam family "Bacterial large subunit ribosomal RNA", at positions 661 to 2803 of the family's 2925-position model. Lineage: Bacteria; Pseudomonadati; Pseudomonadota; Gammaproteobacteria; Enterobacterales; Enterobacteriaceae. The record is from RNAcentral.
GGGAGCCGGAGGGAAACCGAGUCUUAAUUGGGCGUUAAGUUGCAGGGUAUAGACCCGAAACCCGGUGAUCUAGCCAUGGGCAGGUUGAAGGUUGGGUAACACUAACUGGAGGACCGAACCGACUAAUGUUGAAAAAUUAGCGGAUGACCUGUGGCUGGGGGUGAAAGGCCAAUCAAACCGGGAGAUAGCUGGUUCUCCCCGAAAGCUAUUUAGGUAGCGCCUCGUGAAUUCAUCUCCGGGGGUAGAGCACUGUUUCGGCUAGGGGGCCAUCCCGGCUUACCAACCCGAUGCAAACUGCGAAUACCGGAGAAUGUUAUCACGGGAGACACACGGCGGGUGCUAACGUCCGUCGUGAAGAGGGAAACAACCCAGACCGCCAGCUAAGGUCCCAAAGUCAUGGUUAAGUGGGAAACGAUGUGGGAAGGCCCAGACAGCCAGGAUGUUGGCUUAGAAGCAGCCAUCAUUUAAAGAAAGCGUAAUAGCUCACUGGUCGAGUCGGCCUGCGCGGAAGAUGUAACGGGGCUAAACCAUGCACCGAAGCUGCGGCAGCGACGCUUAUGCGUUGUUGGGUAGGGGAGCGUUCUGUAAGCCUGCGAAGGUGGCCUGUGAGGGUUGCUGGAGGUAUCAGAAGUGCGAAUGCUGACAUAAGUAACGAUAAAGCGGGUGAAAAGCCCGCUCGCCGGAAGACCAAGGGUUCCUGUCCAACGUUAAUCGGGGCAGGGUGAGUCGACCCCUAAGGCGAGGCCGAAAGGCGUAGUCGAUGGGAAACGGGUUAAUAUUCCCGUACUUGGUGUUACUGCGAAGGGGGGACGGAGAAGGCUAUGUUGGCCGGGCGACGGUUGUCCCGGUUUAAGCGUGUAGGUGUGUGUUCCAGGUAAAUCCGGUUCACUUUAACACUGAGGCGUGACGACGAGGCACUACGGUGCUGAAGCAACAAAUGCCCUGCUUCCAGGAAAAGCCUCUAAGCAUCAGGUAACAUCAAAUCGUACCCCAAACCGACACAGGUGGUCAGGUAGAGAAUACCAAGGCGCUUGAGAGAACUCGGGUGAAGGAACUAGGCAAAAUGGUGCCGUAACUUCGGGAGAAGGCACGCUGACACGUAGGUGAAGUGAUUUACUCAUGGAGCUGAAGUCAGUCGAAGAUACCAGCUGGCUGCAACUGUUUAUUAAAAACACAGCACUGUGCAAACACGAAAGUGGACGUAUACGGUGUGACGCCUGCCCGGUGCCGGAAGGUUAAUUGAUGGGGUCAGCGCAAGCGAAGCUCCUGAUCGAAGCCCCGGUAAACGGCGGCCGUAACUAUAACGGUCCUAAGGUAGCGAAAUUCCUUGUCGGGUAAGUUCCGACCUGCACGAAUGGCGUAAUGAUGGCCAGGCUGUCUCCACCCGAGACUCAGUGAAAUUGAACUCGCUGUGAAGAUGCAGUGUACCCGCGGCAAGACGGAAAGACCCCGUGAACCUUUACUAUAGCUUGACACUGAACAUUGAGCCUUGAUGUGUAGGAUAGGUGGGAGGCUUUGAAGUGUGGACGCCAGUCUGCAUGGAGCCGACCUUGAAAUACCACCCUUUAAUGUUUGAUGUUCUAACGUGGACCCGUUACCCGGGUUGCGGACAGUGUCUGGUGGGUAGUUUGACUGGGGCGGUCUCCUCCUAAAGAGUAACGGAGGAGCACGAAGGUUGGCUAAUCCUGGUCGGACAUCAGGAGGUUAGUGCAAUGGCAUAAGCCAGCUUGACUGCGAGCGUGACGGCGCGAGCAGGUGCGAAAGCAGGUCAUAGUGAUCCGGUGGUUCUGAAUGGAAGGGCCAUCGCUCAACGGAUAAAAGGUACUCCGGGGAUAACAGGCUGAUACCGCCCAAGAGUUCAUAUCGACGGCGGUGUUUGGCACCUCGAUGUCGGCUCAUCACAUCCUGGGGCUGAAGUAGGUCCCAAGGGUAUGGCUGUUCGCCAUUUAAAGUGGUACGCGAGCUGGGUUUAGAACGUCGUGAGACAGUUCGGUCCCUAUCUGCCGUGGGCGCUGGAGAACUGAGGGGGGCUGCUCCUAGUACGAGAGGACCGGAGUGGACGCAUCACUGGUGUUCGGGUUGUCAUGCCAAUGGCACUGCCCGGUAGCUAAAUGCGGAAGAGAUAAGUGCUGAAAGCAUCUAAGCACGAAACUUGCCCCGAG